Molecule: long non-coding RNA, 864 nt
Filed under: Mus musculus (house mouse)
Lineage: Eukaryota; Metazoa; Chordata; Mammalia; Rodentia; Muridae
Description: predicted gene, 48301
Source: RNAcentral
UUUGGCAGUUCCCAGAAGCUGUCAGCUUCUGUGGUGCAGACUCUCACCUGUGCAUAUUAAUUUCCUAAGUUCUGCGGAGUCCCGGAACCAAGAAGUUAUGAAUUUUAAAACAGGGGUUUCAAUGGAUGAAUGCCUUUGAGAUCACAUUCAGUGCCUUGCAGCUUAUCCAGAUGCCAGAAUAAAAAUAUAGAAAACAGGAGUCUAUCAUGGCUGCCAUCCAAGAGGCCCAACAAGCAGCUGCAAGAGCCAGAUGUAGAUACUAGCACCCAUCCACUGAACAGAAGCUGGGGAUCCCUGUAGUUGUAGGAAAGCUGGAAGAAGCUGAGGAGGAAGGCUGCCCCAUGGAAGACCAGCAGUUUCAACUGAACUGGACCCUGGAGAUGUCUCAGACACUGGGCCACCAAACAGGCAGCAUACACCAGCUGUUAUGAGACCCACAACACAUAUACAACAGAGCACUGCCUGGUCUGGCCUCAGAAAGAGAAGAUGCACCUAACCCUGGAAAGACUUGAGGCCCCAGGGAGUGCAGAGGCCUGAUGGGUAGGAGUCAAAGUGUAGGGACAUCCUCUUGGACACCAGAGGUGAGAGGAAGUAUGGGAUGGGGAGCAGUCUGGGGCAGGGGUGGGGGUGAUAAACCAUGAGGGUGAUGAAGACUGGACUGUGAAAAAGGAUUAAAGAAAAAAAAAAAACUCAUGGGAAACAUGUUACCUACAGCAGCAAAUCUUACUUGCUGAAAUCUCCAUCCAGAGUUGAAGACCAUAUCUGAACUCCAUUACCCUUUUCAUGAGGUGUCCAUCUUCCUGCUAUGAGAAGAGUUACUAGCUUUAACCCUUACCUGAAUGUUAACUUCUAUAAUUUUGUAAA